Molecule: long non-coding RNA, 5324 nt
Filed under: Lactuca sativa (garden lettuce)
Lineage: Eukaryota; Viridiplantae; Streptophyta; Magnoliopsida; Asterales; Asteraceae
Description: long non-coding RNA (LSAT_LNC008659)
Source: RNAcentral
GAGUACCUCUUUUAAUAAAAAUGUUGCGGAAUUUGUUCCCAGUAAAACAUGAUAAAUACAUUAUCAAAGCAUUUCUGAAGACAAGUAUUUUUUAUUAAUUUAAAACAUUUGGGAUGUCAUCGUCAAUACAGAAACAUAAGCAUAAACAUAACUAACAUUUAUUUACACUAGUGAUCUACAUCUCUUUUAAAUCUCUCAGUGUAAAGUAGCUUCGUAUCGACACCUGUGAUACAAAUAAACUGAGUGGGUCAGGUUGGGAAACCUGGUGAGUACAUAGAGUUUUCAACCCACAUUAAUAUAACUAUUAUGUUUAAUCAUCAAAUAGUUAACCCAAUUACCCAUCCUCAUUAUCUUCUUUAAUCUUAAGGAUCUACCCUAAGAAUCAGCUAUUUCUCGUUCAUUUAUAAUUAAAGAUUUUCCUAAGGAAUAGGUACGAAGUCCAUCGUUGUCAAUGACACAGCUGUCAAGCACAACUGCUAGUUCUGUCACUUAGGCGCACCUGCCAAAAUUGUGANNNNNNNNNNNNNNNNNNNNNNNNNNNNNNNNNNNNNNNNNNNNNNNNNNNNNNNNNNNNNNNNNNNNNNNNNNNCUGCUAGUUCUAUCACUUAGGCGCAGCUGCCAUAGUUGUGACAUUCUAUAUGAGGCGCUUCUGCCGGUAUUGUCCUUUAGACGCUACUGUCAAGGUUAUAAUGUUCUCUAUUAGGCGCAACUGCUGAUAUUAUCCUUAGAGCGCAGCUGCUAGGAUGUUUAUCGUAGAUCAACAACAUCUACAGGUUGUGGCGCAGCUGCCAGUGCUCAUCUAUAGGGUACUAGGUCCAUUGCUGCCAAUGUUCACCUAUAGGGCACUAGGUCCAUACCACUAAGAUUCCACUAUUUCAGCUUUCACCCCUCAUCCUUCAUCUACCCAUGUUUCACCCAACAUAUUUUAUAGAUAUAAAAAUAUGUAUACAAUUUAAAACAUGUAUAAAAAUCUCUCACCCAGCAUAGACAACAAGUAUUCACACAAUAUGCACACAUAGCACGUAAUUUAUAUUAAAUACUUCAUAUCUAUGUGUAAGAUGAAAGUAACUAUGCACUGACCUGGGAAGGUGGUGACUCGGCACUCGGACAACACUUCGUUACUCUUAAAACAACUUCCUCGACAAAACCUAGUAUGAAUAUCACUAGGGUUUAGUCUAAUAUUCGUUGAGACUAAUUAAUAGCCUGGCUAUUAUUACUAUUAUAUAAGCAUUAAACAAUACUUAUAUAACCCAUAAUAAUAGCCCAACCACUCCUUAUAAGGUCCUAAUAACAUUACUAUAUCGAAACAUAAGGUAUACUGAAGAUAGGGUAGGCAUAACUCACUUACAGCGGGUUUUCUCGAAAACCGGGCUUCGCUGGAGUAGCGUUUCUGAGCCGAAAGGCUCUUUUCUCGAGGCUUCGGGAGCCUCAGGGCUUCCUUCGGGUGCUAGGGGGUUUACCUAGACUUUAGUGGAGUUUGGGGCUUUAGAGAGAGAAAGAAGGGUUUGAAGGUGUGAGGAAGUGAGGGAACCCGACACCUCUAUUUAUAGGGGUGCUGACUGAUGGACUCGCGGAGUAGGAGGACCUACUCGCCAAGUUGGGGCAUGUGGCAGCCUUCUCGUGGUGCCACGUGUCCAAUUAUGGUGGUGCCAUGUCACCCCCUAUCGCGUAUCAGCCUUCAAACUUAGAAAAAUCAUAACUCUUGCAUAUGAGCUCUGUUGCCAACGUUCUUUUUGUUUUUCAACGCGUUGGUAAAAUCAAGAUCUACAACUUUUGUUUAGACUCUGUCGGCUAAUUCUAGAUUGAUAUCAAAUUUAACAGUAGGAAGUUUUUAGACUGUUAAAUGACCGCGAAGAAUUCGUAACUCCUUCAUACGGACUCCAUUUCCGUCUAUCUUUUUACCGUUGAGUUUCUAUUAAUGAGAUCUUCAACUCUCAUUUAGGUCGCGUAAGCCAAAAACCGCUCGAACUAAAAAUCAAGUUUCGGGCCGUGCACUGCUAAGCCAAAUCUUAGAAAAUUCAUAACUUCCUCAUACGAAGUCAGAUUUGGGCGUUCUUUUUUUGUAUGUUCUCGGUUUAACAUAUACUACAACUUUAAUUUAGAUUGCUAAGGCUAAAAGUCACUCCAUCGUAAAUUUACUGUUUACGCUUCUCGGUGUCGUGUCGGUUUUGCCGUAAAAACUUCGACGGGCCAUAACUUCUUCGUUAUAACUUGGAUUUAGGCAUUCUUUAUUUGUACGGAAACCUUGAGACAUAUUCUACAACUUGGGUAAGACUAUUUAUUAUAAAUAAUCUUUUGCCGAAAAGUCAUUUUCGACACUUAUUGUCUCUAAAUUGACUAGCCCGGGUCUGCGGGCGUUACAAUUAUCUCCACCUUAGGAUGCUUACGUCCCGGAGUCAUCAAUGAAACAGGGCUCAUAUGAUGACUCCAUAUGUUAUCUCUUCAUCCUAGGUAAUAAUCGUAACUUUCUAUGUUUCUUCGAAUGCGUAUCUAACUCCUGGUCUUCUUGACUGCAAGCGGUGCUUGAUCUUGCACACAUUCUCUAUGUCUUGUUACACUUUCAAUCAUGACCUUCAUGUCACAAACUUGCUCUUUAUCAGAGACUCCUUCUUAUUGUUAACAAACUUAAGAUAAGACUCAUCUUUUACUACAAUGGAUCGAUGUGUCAUACUCUAAUGACCUAUCAUCGCAUAUUGCAAACCUUAGACUCAGGUCUCUUAGAGUCAAAUUCCAGAACAGACUAUACCUUCCUUCAUGUUCUAAAUCACAUCUUAAAAAGGUAGCAUUUCUAGCUACAAGCAACUAUCGCGAUACCUCUACCGAUUGAUUUGAUUAUCUUUUAUUUCAAUCUUCCGGCUUAAGUCAGAUGCUACAUAAAACUUGGUUCUCUGAACCACGUAACAUACUUAUCGUAGUCGGAAUCAAUUCGAUAUGACCUCUAGGGUCGGAAUAACAAUCAUCCUCUUAGUCAUUACCGAAAUGAUGGUAACGACAUAUUUCAAUAAAACAGUAUUAAUUACUAGCUUCUUGGUAAACUUGUGACUUUCCCUGAUCCAAGCGUGAGUCCUGUGCUUACGGUAGUAUAGGCCUCUACUACCAUUCACACCUACUCAUACUCGUCCCAAGUAUUGUCCCGCAGUUUUCCAAGUCACCAUACAAGAAAAUCACAUAAAAACUUAACACAUGAAAUAUAAAAACGAAGGUUUUAUAUUAUUCCUUGAGACGAGUACAUGGGUGUUCAAGUUCACCCUAUAUUAUGCCUCUAAUAGGUUGCACCAUAUGACACUAUCUACAUGGCUUCUUCAUAACUUGAUCUCCAUAUAUCCAUCCUCACUCCUGAUUCCUUGCAUCGUCAACUGCUUUGUCUAGGAUCAUAUGGAAUGCUCUUGCCUUUGGUUUUGGUGGCACAUUUGGCUUUGUUGCCGCUUCUCUCUUUGGGUAAUCUUGCUUGAAGUGCCCUUCCUCAUUAAAUUCGUAACACACUCUUUUGUUGAAUUUACACUCGUUGGCAUAAUGGUUCAUGCCUCCCACACCUGAAACAAGUCACCUCCUCACCGCAUUUUCCAGAGUGUUUCUUUUUUCACUUCUCGCACCAUCUUUCUUCACUCCCUCAUCCUCUAAACUUCCUUGUAUUGGACUUGCUUCUCUCAUCGGGCUUCGCAGACCCCUCAAACUUCCUCUUUUCGCCAACCUCGGUCUUGUUGGCGGCUCUUCCCUUGAUCAUCUCCUCAACCGACUUGGCAGCCCAGAUAGCUGCCUCCAAAUUAGGUGCCUGACGUACUGGCACUGCAUACUCCCAUGGAAGUACCUUAGCGUACUUGUCGAUUUUUGUCUGCUCAUCUAGGACAAGACGCAAGGUAAACUCCAUUUUCUCGGUGAAGUUGUUGGUGUAUUCAUCAAUCGACAUGCUUUCCUUCUUCAAGGUCAGGAAUUGGUUCUCUAGCUCAAGCAUGUUUUGAGCUGAGCAGUGCCUGCGUUUUAACUGUACCAAAAAAUUUGCCCAUGUUAGUUGCAGGGGCUCAUUGGGGCUUAGAGUCUUCCUCAGGGUGUUCCACCAGCAAACAACGCCUCCUCUGAAUUGACGUACUGCAAACGUGGUUUGUAGCUUGCCUUUGCAACCACAUGUCAUGAAGGCUAAUUCCAUUUCUGAGAUCCAAUCCAUGACUCCGAUCGGAUCUUCCUUCCAUGUGAAAGUCGAUGGCUUGCAAGUUAUAAAAUCUUUGUACUUGCAUCCAUUCCUCUUGACUUCAUCUUGAUUGUUCCUCCUAAUCACCGGUGGAUCAGCUUGACCAACGGUCCUGCUGUCGUUCCCUUCCUCAGACUGCCCGUCAUUCAGCUCAGGUUGUUCAAUAGGCAUCGUAAGUUCCUCUCGGGUUUGUUGAAGUAAACGCCUUGUUUCCUCCAAUUGACGAUCCAACAUCAUCUGGAUCAACGCUUGAACUCUGGCCAUCGUGAUUGGCUCAGGAGUGGCUAUUACAACAGGGAUUUGCUCAAUCACUGAGGGUUGAUCUCGGUUCCCAUUUGCAUUCACGUUUCCGUUACGGGUCCUUGCCAUCCUAAUCUAUACACCGAAUAAUGUGAAUCUAGAUCUUUAUUUAGGAUUGACGUUUAAAUCAUUCUUAUCACUCUGAAACAUUUAUAUGCUAGUUCUAAUAUCUUAGUUAAACGCUUAGAAUCCUAAACACAUAAGGUUUCCAGAUCCGGUCAGCAAUAGACAAUAGAUCUAAACAAAUAACAGCAUAUCGGGCACAAACAUUUAGCACAUAAAAGCAUUUUAGGCACAAUCCCUAAAAUAAUCUAGUGCUCACACCUCACAAUCAUCGCUUAGCAUUCUAAGUUUAAUUCUAGAAAUAAAUCCAUAUUCCUAGUUCGCUUAAACUAAUGCUCUGAUACCAACUGUGACAUCCCCAAUUUCACGGCCAGAAAAGACCGAUUUUGUUUAUGCUUUAUAAAAAUCAGAGUACUUCAUUUUAUAAAAAUGUUGCGGAAUUUGUUCCCAGAAAAACAUGGUAAAUACGUUAUUAAAACAUUUUCGAAGAAACGUAUUUAUUUCAUUUUAAAACGUUUGGGAUGUCAUCGUUAAUACAGAAACAUAAGCAUAAACAGAACUUACAAUUAUUUACACUAGUGAUCUACAUCUCUUUAAAUCUCUCAGUGUAAUGUCACUUCAUAUCAACACCUGUGAUAUAAAUAAACUGAGUGGGUCAGGUUGGGAAACCUGGUGAGUACAUAGGGUUUUCAACCCACAAUAAUAUAACUAUUAUGUUUAAUCAUCAAACAGUUAACCCAAUUAUCCAUCCUCAUUAUCUUCUUUAAUCAUAAGG